RNAcentral lists this ribosomal RNA (312 nucleotides) under Triticum aestivum (bread wheat). Its description in RNAcentral is "partial small subunit ribosomal RNA". The record is from RNAcentral. Lineage: Eukaryota; Viridiplantae; Streptophyta; Magnoliopsida; Poales; Poaceae.
AUGCCCUCGCUAGUGGAGGGCUGCGGCGUCGCGUGCCAGUUGAUGGCCACCGCUGCCUCACAGGCUGCAUGCGAAAAAACGCCGCCAGCCACAUGUGCCGGUGAAGACCACCUUGCCAGGGUCAACGGUCGCGCUGCACCGGAGGGCGCCUUGCACCGAGCCCAACGUCACGCGUCAGAUGUUGCUGCCUCUGGACCAAGUGCGUGUGCGGGGAUGCACGCUGCCGCCUGGGGCCGUCUUGAGAAGCUGUCAUGCUGCGGUAUAUGCGUCGCCGCUCCACACGCUGGAGGGCGCUAUGUCGAAUUCCGCUGA